GGCAACUUCUUCCGAACAAGAGCGCGUAGCCUUUGGCAUUCGGCUUCUAGUUUUGUUAUUUUCUUGACGUCUUCCAAGCGUUGCUUGUUAGCUACCUCUGCGGACCUCAUGCUCAUGUUCUUUUCUUCGUUUCGAAUUUCAAGCUCCUUGGAGAGAAUAUGAAGUUCGUAUUUCCAAGAAUUUAUGUCCUUUUCGCAUGAUUGUAUGUUGUUCUUCAGCAUUUCAAUCUCAGCAUCGGCUUGAGAUUUUUCCUCACUUAUCUUCAUCAACAUAUGGGAGCGUUCUUGAAGAGACCGAGAAA
RNAcentral lists this unclassified non-coding RNA (301 nucleotides) under Hevea brasiliensis (rubber tree). Lineage: Eukaryota; Viridiplantae; Streptophyta; Magnoliopsida; Malpighiales; Euphorbiaceae. The record is from RNAcentral.